Long non-coding RNA from Pogoniulus pusillus (Red-fronted tinkerbird), 1296 nucleotides. RefSeq lists it as uncharacterized. The transcript is spliced from 3 exons. NCBI's taxonomy places the organism in Eukaryota, Metazoa, Chordata, Aves, Piciformes, Lybiidae. The record is from RefSeq and is a predicted model, not a curated record.
CCAUCCUGCCUCUCCUCAUCUGUGGCUCGUUAAAGGCAGCCACGUGUUGCAGCUGACACUAGUGGCUUUAGCAGCAACUCCUUUCCCCUCUGCCUGAAGUAUUUGUAUUUUACCCUGGGAUCAUCAUUGUGAAUUUGAAAGCGUCUUUCGUACAGGAGACUUACUCAGGGGCCAAAAGAGCGAUGAAGCCUAAUGGAUCCAGCCUUCUUGGUCCCUUCACAUAGCAGUCCCAAAGAAUUGCUAAACCCAGGACAACAGAUGAGAACUUCCAAGACACCCUCUUCUUGCAUUGCAGCCAACACUUGAUUUGAGGAGGGCUCUUCAUCAGCAUCAGAGAGCCCUGCUAUGACAUUACUUCAAGUGCCAAAUAGUUCUAUUGAAUUUAAACCCUGGAGACUUCCUUGGCGAGGCCAGGGCCCUUUGUGCAAUCACUCCUUGUCCUCCAAAGGCAAUUGGACACCAUUUGAGGCUCCAGGCAGACCCUUGUCACAGGCAGGGAACAAAACUGCUGCUCCUUCUGAAAUGCCUGAGUUCCUCAUUUGGGGUGUGCAGCUUUGAGGUCCUGUCACUUGGCAUAGGCUACCUCCAGUCUUUCUGCCUGUCAAGGGUUAGGGCUGGAAUGGGCAUUUAAUGAGUGACAGAUGUUCUCUAUCAACAUCUCUCCCUUCCCAAAGGGAAGAGAAAGGGAAUAAGGGAGAAAGACUUAGGGACUGGAAAAAAACCUGAAACUACUUUAAAGAAAAUAUUAAAAAGAAAGUAAAAUAUAUACAAAACCAAUGCAGAACAGUUUUGCACAGACCUUUGUUACAGUUGGCUGAGACCACCUUUUUUAAUAGAAAAGAAAAAUAUUAAAGCAGUGAUCCUGCAGCAUUGUGAAAAAUAAUGGUGGAGAGAAGAAGGGAAAUAUUAUAGUAGUAUUUAUUUAAACCAGGAUUUGGUCUUCUCCUGGGACUGUUGACAGGUGGUGUCAAUUAGCUGCACAGCAGCAGUGGUACUGAUGUUGGGGCCUUCUGCUUUGACUUUUAAAGGCAGAAUGCAAGUCAGCCCUGGUUUUGCAUAGCUAGGUCCACUGAGGAUGCUCUGCUGUCAGAGCCACCGAAAUCUAACUCUGCAGAAAGUUGUGUCCUAAGGACAGCCUGAACUGAGUAGAGACUUCCAGGCACCAUCCCACCAAAGUUGGCUUAGCUGAAGGUUUGUCAGCAGCUGAAUAGGUGUGGUUAGAAAUAGCUUCAUGGCUGACUCACUCAAUGCUCUAUCACACUUCAUACCAUCCAGCAAGAGUUCCCAUUCAGCUAC